GGCCGCGUUAGCGUGAGCGUGCUAAGGUAGCGUAAUAAUUAGCCUUUUAAUUGGAGGCCAGUGAAUGGCAACACGGAAAACCCCUGUAUCACGUAUAUUAAUAAAAUUUUAUUUUUGGGUGAAAAAGCCCAAAUAAUAGAGGAAGACAAAAAGACCCCGCGGAGCUUUACUUUGUCAAGCCAAACAAAUCUGCCAGAUUAGUUAUGCUAAUAAGUUUGGUUGGGGCAACCCUGGAACCGCUAAAGCUUCCAGUUAAUCAUAGAACUUCAUCAAAAACAUCUUCGGACUAAAAAGAAGUUACCCCGGGGAUAACAGCGUAAUCCAACUUAAGAGUACGCAUCGAAAGUUGGGUUUGCGACCUCGAUGUUGGCUUAAGG
RNAcentral lists this ribosomal RNA (377 nucleotides) under Pinctada margaritifera. RNAcentral's name for it is "partial 16S ribosomal RNA". It matches the Rfam family "Bacterial large subunit ribosomal RNA", at positions 1929 to 2542 of the family's 2925-position model. Lineage: Eukaryota; Metazoa; Mollusca; Bivalvia; Pterioida; Pteriidae. The record is from RNAcentral.